Molecule: long non-coding RNA, 404 nt
Organism: Ictalurus punctatus (channel catfish)
Lineage: Eukaryota; Metazoa; Chordata; Actinopteri; Siluriformes; Ictaluridae
Source: Ensembl
CAGAGAGAGACAGAUACAGAGAGAGACGUACAGAGAGAGAUGUACAGAGAGAGACAGAUACAGAGAGACAGAUACAGAGAGAGAUGUACAGAGAGAGAGAUAUACAGAGAGAGAGAUACAGAGAGAUAUACAGAGAGAGAUACAGAGAGAUAUACAGAGAGAUAUACAGAGAGAGAGAUACAGAGAGAGAUGUACAGAGAGAUGUACAGAGAGAGAUACAGAGAGAGAUACAUACAGAGAGAGAGAUGUACAGAGAGAUAUACAGAGAGAGAUGUACAGAGAGAGAUAUACAGAGAGAGAGAUAUACAGAGAGAGAUAUAGAGAGAUAUACAGAGAGAGAUAUAGAGAGAGAGAGAGAUAUAGAGAGAGAGAGAGAUACAGAGAGAGAGAUAGAGAAAGAUAUA